Molecule: ribosomal RNA, 508 nt
Filed under: uncultured bacterium
Lineage: Bacteria
Description: partial 16S ribosomal RNA
Rfam family: Bacterial small subunit ribosomal RNA
Source: RNAcentral
GAUGAACGCUAGCUACAGGCUUAACACAUGCAAGUCGAGGGGAAACGACAUCGAAAGCUUGCUUUUGAUGGGCGUCGACCGGCGCACGGGUGAGUAACGCGUAUCCAACCUGCCCACCACUUGGGGAUAACCUUGCGAAAGUAAGACUAAUACCCAAUGAUAUCUCUAGAAGACAUCUGAAAGAGAUUAAAGAUUUAUCGGUGAUGGAUGGGGAUGCGUCGGAUUGGCUUGUUGGAGGGGUACCGGCCCACCAAGGCGACGAUCAGUAGGGGGACUGAGAGGAAGGUCACCCACAUUGGAACUGAGACACGGUCCAAACUCCUACGGGAGGCAGCAGUGAGGAAUAUUGGUCAAUGGGCGAGAGCCUGAACCAGCCAAGUAGCGUGCAGGAUGACGGCCCUAUGGGUUGUAAACUGCUUUUAUAAGGGAAUAAGGUGAGUCUCGUGAGACUUUUUGCAUGUACCUUAUGAAUAAGGACCGGCUAAUUCCGUGCCAGCCGCCGCAGUAA